RNAcentral lists this long non-coding RNA (849 nucleotides) under Homo sapiens (human). Its description in RNAcentral is "non-protein coding lnc-CMBL-5:3". Lineage: Eukaryota; Metazoa; Chordata; Mammalia; Primates; Hominidae. The record is from RNAcentral.
AGUAGCUGGGACCAUAUAAGCAUGCCAUCAGGCCCAACUAACUUAUUUUUGGUAGAGACAGGGUGUAUGUUGCCCAGGCUGGUCUCUGACUCCUGGGCUAGAGCGACUCCUCUUGCCUCAGCCUCCCAAAGUGCUGGGAUUACAGGUGCGAGCCACUGCACCUGGCCAAAAAGAUGAUUUUCUUUUUGAAAGUGUAUGGUGCCACUACCUGACUCACACUAAGGUGUGGUUUUAAUGGUCACUGCUUUUGCACCAUCAGUGCAAAAGUCAACACAGUGAAAAGGGCAGUAACUUCAGUGUAGGAAAAUACAUUUGACUCAUAGGCCCCUUGGAAAGACCCAGGACCCCGAGGGAUCCAUGGAGCAGACUUUGAAAACCAGUUUUAAUGUACAUAAACCAUUUAGAGCAGUGAUAGGGCACACACAUUUAUAUUUUUACUACCUUGUCGUGUUUUCCCCACUUUUCCUGCCCUUCAACACUUUCUCGGCCAUUUGCCUUUGGUCCCCACUUUUCUGGUGCUUUUAGAUGACCCCAUUCUGCCAAGACUGCCUGCAAGGAACACCUAGGUUGGAGAAACUUCUCCAUGCUUACAAAUUACUGAUUAGUCAGUUACUACCGUGUCACCUUCCUCUGGCCACACCCCCCAACCCUCAAUCUGUUGGAGCUGUUUCACCUAGAGAAAGAAAAUGAGAGUCAAGAAAUUCAGUCCAAUGUAACAGAGAGAUGGGCCUCUUAGCCCUCCCUGUGACAUUUGUGCCUCACAGCGGCUGCUUGCAGAGUUGACCCUCAUCUGAAUUCAACCAACCUCAGGUUGAGAACAUUCAGAGAAAAAAAUUGCAUCUGUACUGA